UACGAAGGGGGCUAGCGUUGCUCGGAAUCACUGGGCGUAAAGGGUGCGUAGGCGGGUUUUUAAGUCAGGGGUGAAAUCCUGGAGCUCAACUCCAGAACUGCCUUUGAUACUGAAGAUCUUGAGUUCGGGAGAGGUGAGUGGAACUGCGAGUGUAGAGGUGAAAUUCGUAGAUAUCCGCAAGAACACCAGUGGCGAAGGCGGCUCACUGGCCCGAUACUGACGCUGAGGCACGAAAGCGUGGGGAGCAAACAGG
Molecule: ribosomal RNA, 253 nt
Filed under: uncultured bacterium
Lineage: Bacteria
Description: partial 16S ribosomal RNA
Rfam family: Bacterial small subunit ribosomal RNA
Source: RNAcentral